RNAcentral lists this long non-coding RNA (3423 nucleotides) under Sus scrofa (pig). RNAcentral describes it as "lncRNA (ENSSSCG00050015853.1)". The record is from RNAcentral. Lineage: Eukaryota; Metazoa; Chordata; Mammalia; Artiodactyla; Suidae.
AGAUGUUUUAUACUAAGCUUCUUAAUAACUUUUUCUCACUAGACAUAGUCAUAGCAACCUUAAACUACUCAAAGGCUUCCUACCUAAACUGAGAAUCCACUCUUAAGGGGCACGAGUAAAAAUGAAUGUGCUCCAUGUCCCAGCACGGAGGCAGCAGUAUGAAAGGCACCUGGGUCAUAUGUGAAGGAGAUUCACUGACUAAUUUUAGGGUAUGUGCUCUGAGUAUUAGAACUUUCUCUGGGUAUGAAGGAGCUGGUAGGUGCCAAUUUUUUGUUUUGUCCUGUUUUGGUUGAUUAGUUGGGGUCUCUUUGUAGCUCAUCCUUUACUUACCUGGCCCAGCACUGGAAGGUGCUAUCGCUGACUCUCCCCAACCAACCAACUAAUCCUGGGUUCUUUUGUGAGCCCAACAGCACUCUGCUCCACCAAAGCAGUCCCCGCCCUACACCAGACCUGGAAGGUACCCGUGGCUGGCACUGGAGCCCCUCCAAAGCAGCCUCCCAGUCUACCAGUCCAUCACGUAUACUUGACUUGCACCAGCAACCCCCAAAGCAGCUCUGGCCCUAGAAACUGUCCCCCACAUGACAGAGUACCUGCAACAGUUGAACUAGGCCUUAUACCCAGCCACCCUGGGGACCAGCCCCACACACUAAUGCACCCCCAGCAAGCAUAGCCCAACCACAAUAGAAGGACACACACAGCCCACAUGGGGGGCACUCCUGGAGCCCCAGACUCUGGUGCCCAGGGAGGACUGUGCUACUAAGCCCUACAGGACUCCUUCUAUACAAAGCCACUCUUCCAAUCAGGGAGAUAUAGAUAACCUACUUAAUACAAUAGGAGCAAACAUAGAGAGUUGGACAAAAUGAGGACACAAAAGAAUAUGCUCCAAACUAAAGAACAAGACAAAACCUCAGAAAAAAAUAAACAAGCCAAAUGGAGAUAAACAACAUGCCAGAUAAAAAAUUCAAAGUAAUGGUUAUAAAAAAUACUCUUCCAACUCAGGAGAAUAGAGGAACACAGUGAGAUCUUCAACAGCAAUAUAGAAAAUACAAAAAGGAACCAGUCAAACCUUAAGAAUACAAUAACAGCCAUGAAAAAUACACUCUAGAACCAACUGUAGAUGAAAUGAUGCAGAAAAAUGGAUCAGCAAUCUGGUAGACAGGCUGGUGGAAAUCACUUGACUGAAACAGCAAAUAGAAAAAAAUGAGGCUAUCUUAAGGGAUCCCUAGAACAAUAUCAGCAUACUAACAUUCACCUUAUAGGGGGUCCCAGAAGGAGAAGAGAGAGAGAGGGACAGAAAAUCUAUUUGUAGAAAUAAUGGCUGAAAACUUCCUAACCUCGGUAGAGGAAAUGGACAUCCAAGUCCAGGAAGCACAGGAAGUCCCAAAUAAAAUGAACCCAAAGAAACCCACCCUGAGACACCUUGCAAUUAAAAACAGAAGCAAAAAUAAACAAAGGAGGCCUAAUCAAACUUUAAAGCUUUUGCAAAGCAAAGAAACUCAUCAACAAAAUGAAAAGACAACCUACUGAAUCGGAGAAAAUAUUUGCAAAUGAUAUGACCAAUAAGGAGUUAAAUACCUAUAAUAUAUAAACAACUCAUACAACUCAACAUCAAAAAUAAACACCCUGAUUAAAAAAUGGACAGAAGAACUGAACAUAUAUUUUUCCAAAGAGGAAAUGCAGAUGGUCUACAGACAAAUGAAAACAGGCUCACCAUUGCCAAUCAUCAGGAAAAUGCAAAUCAAAGCCAUAAUGAGAGAUCACCUCACACUUGUCAGAAUGGCUGUCAUCAAAAUGAACACAAAUAACAAAUGUUGGCAAGGAUGUGGGGAAAAGGAAACCCUUGUGCUCUGUUGGUAGGAAUGUAAAUUAGCACAGUCACUAUGGAAAACACUAAUGAAGUUCUGCCAAGAAAAUUUUAAAUAGAACUACCAUAUGAUUCAGCAAUUCCACUUCUGGAUAUUUACCCAAAAAAACCAAAACACUAAUUCGAAAAGAUAUAUGCACCCCUAUAUUCACUGCAGCAUUGUUUACAAGAGCCAAGAUAUGGAAGAAACCUAAAUGUCCAUCAAUAGAUGAAUGGGCAAAAAAGAUGUAAAAUCUAUAUAUUGGAAUAUUAUGUAAUGUGUGUGUGUGUGUGUGUGUGUGUGUAAUGGAAUAUUACUCAGCCGUAAAAAGAUUUUGCCCUUUGCAACAACAUGGAUGCACCUAGAGGGUAUUAUACUAAAUGAGUCAGAUAUUGAGAUAUAAGACAAAUGUUGUAUAGUUUCACUUAUGUGUGGAUUCUAAAAAAUGAACAAACAAAACAAAAAUGGACUCAUAGAUACAAAAAACAAACAGGUGGUUGCCAGAAAGGAGAGGGUAGAGAGUUGGGCAAAAUAGGUGAAGAGGAUUAAUUAAGUACAAACUUCUGGUUAUAAAAUAAAAUGAGUCACAGGAUGUAAAAUACAGCAUAAGGAAUAUAGCCACUAAUACAGUAAUAAUUUUGUAUGGUAACAAAUGGUUACUAGACUUAUCAUGGUGAUUGAUCAUUUUGUCAUGUAUUUGUCAAAUCACUAUGUUGUAUGCCUGAAUCUAACAUAAUAUUUUAAGUCAACUAUACUUCAAUUUAAGAAAAAAAGUGAGGGAGCAGUAAGAAUCAAAAACAGUGCAGAUAGGGAAUUCCUGUCGUGGCUCAGUGGAAACGAAUCUGACUAGUAUCCAUGAGACACCGGUUCGAUCCCUGGCCCCUCUUUUAGGAUCCGACAUUACUGUGAGCUGUGGUGUAGGUCGAAGACAUGGCUUGGAUCCUGUGUUGCUGUGGCUGUGGCACAGGCCAGCAGCUGCAGCUCCAAUUCGACCUGUAGCCUGGGAACUUCCAUAUGCUGUGCAUGCGGCCCUAAAAAACUCCCCCUCCCCCCAAAAAAGCAGUGCAGAUAUUUCCAGGUUUAGGAACAGCACAGAUGCCAUGGCUAUGUCAGGAAACUCUGAGGGAACCUACUAGCUCCUGGUCUAUAUAUUUCACCUAAGAUUUUCCUCUCAUAGCUUACUUCUUAACAGUGAAGAGGGUAGAUUCAGAGGGAAAAAAUGCAUUGCUUCUAUUCAAUUUCAUGUCCACCCUAAAGCUGUUUAGAAAGUGAUUUUUGAUAUGCCUCUCUCUACAUAAAGCAGUAGUCCGACCUGCAGAAAUAGUAGAGAGGGCUAUUAGAUCUCUAAUUAGUUUUUAAGUGUUCUACAUUUCAUAAAAAGAUUGGAAAUAAAUCCAGUUAAAACGAUUUUUUUUUUGAGGAGUUCCUGUCAUGGCGCAGUGGUUAAAGAAUCCCACUAGGAACCAUGAGGUUGCGGGUUCAGUCCCUGCCCUUGCUCAGUGGGUUAACGAUCCGGCGUUGCUGUGAGCUGUGGUGUAGGUUGCAGAUGUGGCUCGGAUCCCACGUUGCUGUGGCUCUG